Molecule: ribosomal RNA, 440 nt
Filed under: uncultured bacterium
Lineage: Bacteria
Description: partial 16S ribosomal RNA
Rfam family: Bacterial small subunit ribosomal RNA
Source: RNAcentral
CCUACGUGUGGCAGCAGUGGGGAAUAUUGCACAAUGGGGGAAACCCUGAUGCAGCGACGCCGCGUGAGUGAAGAAGUAUUUCGGUAUGUAAAGCUCUAUCAGCAGGGCAGAAAAUGACGGUACCUGACUAAGAAGCCCCGGCUAACUACGUGCCCGCAGCCGCGGUAAUACGUAGGGGGCAAGCGUUUUCCGGAUUUACUGGGUGUAAAGGGAGCGUAGACGGCCAUACAAGUCGGAAGUGAAAGCCCAGGGCUCAACCCGCGGACUGCUUUUGAAACUGCCGGGCUGGAGUGCAGGAGGGGUAAGCGGAAUUCCUGGUGUAGCAGUGAAAUGCGUAGAUAUUAGGAGGAACACCAGUGGCGAAGGCGGGUUCCUGGACUGUAACUGACGUUGAGGCUCGAAGGCGUGGGGAGCAAACAGGAUUAGAUACCCUUGUAGUC